This is a long non-coding RNA of Andrographis paniculata, 12573 nucleotides long. RefSeq lists it as uncharacterized. The record is from RefSeq and is a predicted model, not a curated record. The transcript is spliced from 52 exons. Lineage: Eukaryota; Viridiplantae; Streptophyta; Magnoliopsida; Lamiales; Acanthaceae.
UUAAACCAAACUUCAUAACGGGAAGGAAGAUUAUUACCAUACUUUUGAAGCACGAGAGAGAGAGAGACAGAUGGAAAUGGGAGAGAAGAGAAAGUCCAGAGACAAGAAGAGCGGAAAUCGAUCAUGGAAGAGACUGUCUUCCGUCGUCUACGCCGGUCGUCGGCCGGCGGCCAUAAGAAAGUCCGUCGUCCCUAGUCAUCCGUUUUAGAAGAAGAUCGAGAGAAAGGAGAAAAACCAACGCUUUGCCCGGCCUUCGUUCGUUCUGCUCUGCCCACCGGACCCCUGAUAUCAACUAUGUCGAUGCAUUGUUAUUUCACUUGCCAUCCAUUGAUGUUUGAACCUUGCCGAGCUUAAUAUUUUAUUUCCUUCCUAUCUUGGUUCACUCAUUAUUAUUAUCCAUUUAGCUGUGAUGCCGGGUGAAAGAUUGGAGUGCAUUGUUCAAGUACCACAAUGGAAAUGCAGUGCCUACUCAAAUAAAUGAACAAAAAGAUCGCAGAGAAAAUAAAUCAGAAAAAAAAAAAGAAAUGAAACAAAUGAAAAAAAAAACAAAAAAAAAAAGAGAACAAAGAAAGAGAAAGAGAAAAAAAAAAAAAGUCAAUCAAAGUGCAAAUGUCGAACCUGUUGGUGCUGUGAAAGAAAACAUGAAAACAAAGAAGCAAAGGAACUCAUUAGGUCAAAACAUCCUAUGCCGGCCUUCAUCUACUCACACAAGUGCCAAGCUGCGUUAAUUGUAAAAAAUAAGAACAUUGUGGAGGUAUUGAAGACCGUCGGCGAGGGUUGGACAUGCAAUACUUACCCAAAGAAUGUUAAAUAAAUAAAAGAAGAAGAGAAAAAGAAAUGAAACGAAAAAUAAAGCCAAUCCAAAUGCUCACUUCAUAGAGAUGUCAAACUUGUUGGGGGCAAAAUGGAAGACAAUUAAUGAAGUCGUGAAGGAAAACAAGAAAACUAAAUAGCAAGGAAAAGGACAUGUUAAAGCCAAAACAUCCUAUGUCAUGUCUGAACUACAUUGAUUGAAGAGAAUAAGAACAUUAUUGAGAUUGUGUCGGUGAAGAAAGGACAUGAAGAAUGUGCUUAAUAGUACGGUCUGGCUAUUCUUUUGAAGUUGAGAAGAGAUAUUCAUCCUCUUUUGGAUGCCAAAGCUGAAAAGGUAAGUGUUUGGGCAGGAUGUAGUCUAUCGUUGGCUUAAUUACAUCUCAUUAAUAUUUUCUUUAUAAUGCAACACCACAAUGGACAUACAGUGCCUACCCAAAAAAACGAAAAGAAAAAAGAAAGAAAGAAAAAAAAAAAUCUGAAAAAAAAGGUUAAAAAAAGCAUAAAUGAAAAAAAAAAUAGAGAAAAAAGAAAAAGAAAGAUAAAAAGCAUAAAAGUUAAAAAAAAAAAAAAAAAAAAAAACUGUGAAAGAAAAAAAGAAAAAAAGGUGAGUAUAUAUGAAUUUGUUUACUUUUACUAAAUCCUAUUGGUUGUUAGUUUGUUAUACAAUCAUAUAUGGUUCUUCUACACAGAAGGACCCAUUACGGCCGAAACAUCCCAUGUUGGCCUUCAUCUACUCGAACAAGUGCCGAGCUACAUUGAUUUUAGAGAAUAAGAACAUUGUGGAGGUUUUGAAGACCGGCAGUGAGGGGUGGACAUGCAAUACUUACCCAAGGAAAGUAAAAUAAAUAAAAAAGAAGAAAAGAUAAACAGCAAAGAAAGCCAAUCCAAAUGCUCACUUCAAAGAGAUGUCGAACUGUUGGGGGCAAAAUGGAAGACAAUUAGUGAAAUCGUGAAAGAAAACAAGAAAACUAAAAUAGGAUGGAAAAGGACAUAUUAAAGCCAAAACAUCCUAUGUCAGGACUCCAUCUACUCGAACAAGCGGUGAGCUACAUUGAUUGAAGAAAAUAAGAACAUUGUUGAGAUUGUGCCGGUGAAGAAAGGACAUGAAUAAUGUGCUUAAAAGUACGCACCACAAUGGACAUGCAGUGCCUACCCAAAAAAACGAAUAGAAAAAAAAAAUUCUGAAUAAAAAGAAUAGUUAAAAAAAAAAAGAAAUGAAAAGAAACAGAAAAAAGAAAAAGAAAAGAAAAAAGCAAAAACUUUUGAAGAAACAGAAAGAGAAAAAAACAAAAGAAUAGAAAAAAAAGAAAGUUGUGAAAGAAAACAAGUGUCGAGCUACAUUGAUUUUAGAGAAUAAGAACUUUGUGGAGGAAGGAAAAAUACCCGUUAAAGCCGAAACAUCCUAUCUCAGCCUUCUUCUACUCAAACAAGUGGCGAGCUAUAUUGAUUGAAGAGAAUAAGAACAUUGUCGAGAUUGUGAAGAUGUGAGGGAUGGACAUGAAGAAUAUGCUUCAAAAGUAUGGUUUUGCUACUUUGUUGAAGUUGAGAAGAGAUAUUCAUCCUCUUUUGGAUGCCAAAGCUAAAAAGGUAAGUGUUUGGGCAGGAGAUGGUUUAUCGUUGGCCUUAAUUUGUGUUACAGUUUGCAAGUUUGUGCUUUUUUGGUUGUUGUUCUUACUGUAUUAUUUUGCAAAGAGAUCAAUAAAAAAGGUUGAAAAAAAGAAAAGAAAAAAAAAAGAAAAGAAAAGAGCUGGAAAAGGGGAAAUUUUUUUGAAAAAAACGGAAACAAAGAUGAAAAAAUUAAGAAAAAAAAAAAAAAAGAAAAAUGAAAAAAAAAGGAGAAAGAGAAGAAAAAAAUUGAAAAAAAAGCCAAUCAGAUGUUGACCUUAAGGAGAUGUGGAACCUGCUGGCGGCAAAAUGGAAAACAAGUCGCGAAAGAGAACAAGAAAACAAAGUAGGAAGAAAAAGAACUCAUUAAGCAGGAACAUCCUAUAUCACACUGAUUUCAGAGAACAAGAAUAUUUUGGAGUUGAAAAAUAGGUUGUAAAGACAGCUGGUGAGGUUGGACAUGCAGGACUUACGCAAGGAAAAAAAAAAACGAAAAAAGAAGAACUACAAAGAGAGAAGGGUCAAUGCUGAAAUGUUGCGCACUUAUGCUAUUGACCUGCUGACUGCAUGCUUGGAGAAUGGUGGUCAGUUAGUGGAAGAUGUGUUGACAUAAUGUGAUAUCUACGAGUACGGUUAACACAAACCAAAAGCUUCUAAGGUAUUGUUUGACAACAAAAGUGUGUCUAGCAUGGCUCUAAAGGCCAAAGAGGGUGGCAGGGGUAAGUCAAAGCAAGUGACAGAGAGUUUUCACAUGGAUACUGAGACUAUCAGAGCCCAUCCCACUGAGAGUGAACGUGAAAAAGAUCGCACAUCUAUGGACAACCUUGAUUGAGAUGAUGAGAGGUGUGGCAAUAGGCAAACAUAUGGGGAUAUGUACUGGGGUGAUGAGGAACAUCUUGAUAGUGUAGCUCCUGAGGUUGAUGCAUAUGAUGCUGAAGCAGAUAGUGACGAGAAGUGGGAUCUCUGCCAGUCAAAAGAAAAACCUGGUGGAAAAUCUCAUGGGGAAGAAGACUUUGAAGGAGUAUCGAUCGCGAUCAAGAGGUAGGUCCAAUGAAGGAGUUUCUGAGACAUUACUGAGUUGGUUAUGAAAGCAGUCGGAGCUGCUGAGCCGAAGCAAGAACAGACCAUGCACCUGCCUGUGCCAUUAAGGCUGCAGGUGCUGCUGCUGCUGAGGUCGUUAAGACAGCUGAUUAGAGUGCAGGAAUACAAGAAGACGAAUGACGAAGAAGCUAUUGUGGUUGCUGCAUCCAGAUCUUCAUCACACUGUUAUGGAUGCUGCCAGUGCAGUUGCUCUUGCAAGAAUUCAAAGCCAUGAAUUUGCUGAAUUUUCUAUUCCUGGUGGUCAUUCCCUUCUGAAGUUGAGAGAGAAAUUCUGUAUCCAGUGUCUGGUGUUUAUUGGGGAGUAUGUUGAAGUUCUUGGUUCUGUACUCCAUGAGAAGGAGUAAAUGUAUGCCUUGCACUACUGCAGCGAAGUCUUAAGCUCGAAGAAACACCCUACACUAAAUUCCUUAUGAAUGAACUUUGAAGCUAAUAUGUGCAUUGGCUGCUCACAGAAAGUUUUCUGCAUUGUUUGUUGAUUGCGGUGGCAUGGACAGACUCCUUGCGACUCCUAGAAAUGCCCAUACAUAUGUGGGUCUUUCUUCCUGCUUAUGAACUAUUGGGUCAAUUCAGGUGAUAAUGAAGUGUGUUUGUUCUCUUCCGCCAAAUAUUGUCCAUCAGAUUGUUAAGUUGGCUGGAACUGCGACAAUAAUUCAGGGCACAUCUCCUCUUGCUUGUGGAUUCUAUUCAACCUAACGAUGGUGAUGGCUAUGAUGAACCUGAGAUUGUUGAACCAGCAUUGAAUUUGUUAAUAAAUCUUGUGUGCCAUCCUUCAUCAAUAAGCAAUAAGCCAAGUCUCAUGCAAGGUCAGCAAUACGGAAAUCAAUCUGCUAUGAACUCCAGGGACAAAUUCAGAGAGGAAUUUCCCAGAGCGUGGUCUAAAUCAGAAUGAAUCAAGGGUUCGAACUGGGGAACUGACACCUAUGCCAUCAUCUGUUGGUAACACUUCAUCAUCACAGGAAUCUGCUUCAUUAGUUGCUUCUGGUUUAGUUGGAGAUCGCAGGAUUUCGUGCUUGGCUUGGUGCUCAGCUUGAACAAGGAUAUCGUCAAGCUAGAGAAGCUGUUCGUGUAAAGCAUGCUUCUUCAGCUUCUCCAACCUCGAAUGGUGACAUCCCCUGCAGCUCUUGAUUGUCUUCGUGCUCUUACAUGCCGAGUACUUUAGCAGCUAGUGAUGCAGCGACUCCCACUUUGAGACCAUUGAAAGAGGAGCAGCCAUUGCUGCUGCUACUCCAGUUUCUUAUCAUUCUAGGGCUUAUCCAUGAGCACCUUCAAUUAUCUGGAUUAGGUUAUCACCAAUGCCAUCCUUGGAUGCUCCAUCAUCUUUAGCACAACACGCAUCUGGGCAGGAGUUGUCAUCAAUACAAAUAGAAUGGCCAUCUGAAAUAGCAACUUGUGGAUUCUUGUUGGAUAGACCAAACUGGUGAACAUACACUCAGACCAUAUGGAUUCGAACUUGUUAUGCACACCAUCUGUUGAGAGUUUGCUAACCAGUCCGACCUAUUUAUCCUCAUGUCUGCCCUGAGCCAAGCAUUCAAUGUUUGCAUCACUGCCAUCAGAUUCAUCCCGGCGUUAAAUCCUUGUGUACGAUGAUAUCCAGUCUUGUCAAUUGGAUCUGACACUGACUGAUACUUCUAAUAACCCGUCUGGACAUGAUCAUGGAUGUGAUCAUUCAUAUUGACUCAAUGCUGCUUUGGAAUGGAGUUUUGUGGGAUCGCAAGACCAUUUCAUCGAUUUUAUCAAUUUACUGCCUAUGAUGGUGGGGGCUACCAUUCUGCUGGGAAUGAGAUUGUUGAACCAGCGUUGAAUUUGUUAAUAAACCUUGUGUCAUGAAUAAGCAAUAAGCCAAGUCUCAUGCAAGGUCAGCAAGCUUCUUCUACCCAAGCUGGAAUCAAUCUGCUAUAAACUCCAGGGACAGAAAUUCAGAGAAGAAUGUCCCAGAGGUGGUCCAAAUCAGAAUGAAUCAAGGGAUCAAACUGGGGAACUGACACCUAUGCCAUCAUCUGUUGGUAACACUUCAUCAUCACAGGCAUCUGCUUCAUUAGUUGCUUCUGGUUUAGUUGGAGAUCGCAGGAUUUCAUGCUUGGACAAGGAUAUCGUAAAGCUAGAGAAGCGUUCGUUCAAGGCAUGGUAUAAAAGGUUCUUCAGCUUCUCCAAUCUCGAAUGGUGACAUCCCCUGCAGCUCUUGAUUGUCUUCGUGCUCUUACAUGCCGAGUGCUUUUAGGUUGAUGCUAUUGCACAUAUAUUGACCGAACUUCAGGUUUGGAAAAGUUAUCAAAGCUCAUCCGAGUGGGAGCCAAACCGCCAGUGGUGACCAAAAUAGAUGGCAGGCGGAAUUAACUCAAGUGAGCUUAUUGGGCUUAUCCAUGAGCACCUUCAAGCAUCUGGAUUAGCUGAGAGUGCAUCUUUGCUAAGUUAUCACCAUUGGCUGCUCCAUCAUUUAGCACAACACACAUCUGGGCAAGAGUUGUCAUCAGUACAAAUGCAAUGGCCACUGAACGAGCAACUUUUCAGGAACACCAUCAGUGUCUACUGGGAAAUCAAGUGGCGAUCCAGACAAUCCGAGAAGAACUCCAAUAGUGUUGCCAAUGAAACGGAAAAACAGACAUGAAAGAAAAUGGGUUUGGAUCAUCGGUAAAACUGGUGAACAUACACUCAGACUACCUGGUUUUUCAACACCGAAUUCUGCUUGUAGAAGUGGUCUGCAGGUGGAUUCGAACAUACAUUUAAGGCGAGGAAGACGAUGAUGAUAAUGGCAGUGAGGUUCUUGAAUCUUUCAGCAGUGACUAUCUUCUGUGAUCGAUCCUUCUUAAAGCUGCAAUCCUACAGCUGAAGAUGCUCACACUUUUACGAUAAACCUCAUGAGAAUUGGUUGAAUCAAGAACAACAUCGUGAGGGGCAAGGCUAAUAAACCAAACCCGAUGAGAAUUGGUAUGUAGCUUUCUUUCAUUUUAUUGAGAUUAAAUUGAUGUCUGAUAUCAAAUUGAUGUGUUUUCACUCUGGUGAGGUUAAAUCAAGAACAAUCAUGAUAAGAAUUGGUUGAAUCAAGAACAUCAUCUUGAGUAGAGGGAAGUAUUAGAGGCCAAAUCCGACAAGAAUUGCAUUGUGAGUUAAAUGGGCAAGGCAUACGGACCAAUCAUGAUAAGAAUUGGUUGAAUCAAGAACACAACAUCAUGAGUAGAGGGAAAGAUUAUAGGCCAAGGAAAGUAAAAUAAAUAAAAAAGAAGAAAAGAUGAAACAGCAAAGAAAGCCAAUCCAAAUGCUCACUUCAAAGAGAUGUCGAACUGUUGGGGGCAAAAUGGAAGACAAUUAGUGAAAUCGUGAAAGAAAACAAGAAAACUAAAAUAGGAUGGAAAAGGACAUAUUAAAGCCAAAACAUCCUAUGUCAGGACUCCAUCUACUCGAACAAGCGGUGAGCUACAUUGAUUGAAGAAAAUAAGAACAUUGUUGAGAUUGUGCCGGUGAAGAAAGGACAUGAAUAAUGUGCUUAAAAGUACGCACCACAAUGGACAUGCAGUGCCUACCCAAAAAAACGAAUAGAAAAAAAAAAUUCUGAAUAAAAAGAAUAGUUAAAAAAAAAAGAAAUGAAAAGAAACAGAAAAAAGAAAAAGAAAAGAAAAAAGCAAAAACUUUUGAAGAAACAGAAAGAGAAAAAAACAAAAGAAUAGAAAAAAAAAGAAAGUUGUGAAAGAAAACAAGUGUCGAGCUACAUUGAUUUUAGAGAAUAAGAACUUUGUGGAGGAAGGAAAAAUACCCGUUAAAGCCGAAACAUCCUAUCUCAGCCUUCUUCUACUCAAACAAGUGGCGAGCUAUAUUGAUUGAAGAGAAUAAGAACAUUGUCGAGAUUGUGAAGAUGUGAGGGAUGGACAUGAAGAAUAUGCUUCAAAAGUAUGGUUUUGCUACUUUGUUGAAGUUGAGAAGAGAUAUUCAUCCUCUUUUGGAUGCCAAAGCUAAAAAGGUAAGUGUUUGGGCAGGAGAUGGUUUAUCGUUGGCCUUAUUUUGUGUUACAGUUUGCAAGUUUGUGCUUUUUUUGUUGUUGUUCUUACUGUAUUAUUUUGCAAAGAGAUCAAUAAAAAAGGUUGAAAAAAAGAAAAGAAAAAAAAAAGAAAAGAAAAGAGCUGGAAAAGGGGAAAUUUUUUUGAAAAAAACGGAAACAAAGAUGAAAAAAUUAAGAAAAAAAAAAAAGAAAAAUGAAAAAAAAAAAGAGAAAGAGAAGAAAAAAAUUGAAAAAAAAGCCAAUCAGAUGUUGACCUUAAGGAGAUGUUGAACCUGCUGGCGGCAAAAUGGAAAACAAGUCGCGAAAGAGAACAAGAAAACAAAGAAGAAAAAGAACUCAUUAAGCAGGAACAUCCUAUAUCACACUGAUUUCAGAGAACAAGAAUAUUUUGGAGGUUGUAAAGACAGCUGGUGAGGUUGGACAUGCAGGACUUACGCAAGGAAAAAAAAAAAAAACGAAAAAAGAAGAACUACAAAGAGAGAAGGGUCAAUGCUGAAAUGUUGCGCACUUAUGCUAUUGACCUGCUGACUGCAUGCUUGGAGAAUGGUGGUCAGUUAGUGGAAGAUGUGUUGACAUAAUGUGAUAUCUACGAGUACGGUUAACACAAACCAAAAGCUUCUAAGGUAUUGUUUGACAACAAAAGUGUGUCUAGCAUGGCUCUAAAGGCCAAAGAGGAUGGCAGGGGUAAGUCAAAGCAAGUGACAGAGAGUUUUCACAUGGAUACUGAGACUAUCAGAGCCCAUCCCACUGAGAGUGAACGUGAAAAAGAUCGCACAUCUAUGGACAACCUUGAUUGAGAUGAUGAGAGGUGUGGCAAUAGGCAAACAUAUGGGGAUAUGUACUGGGGUGAUGAGGAACAUCUUGAUAGUGUAGCUCCUGAGGUUGAUGAAUAUGAUGCUGAAGCAGAUAGUGACGAGAAGUGGGAUCUCUGCCAGUCAAAAGAAAAACCUGGUGGAAAAUCUCAUGGGGAAGAAGACUUUGAAGGAGUAUCGAUCGCGAUCAAGAGGUAGGUCCAAUGAAGGAGUUUCUGAGACAUUACUGAGUUGGUUAUGAAAGCAGUCGGAGCUGCUGAGCCGAAGCAAGAACAGACCAUGCACCUGCCUGUGCCAUUAAGGCUGCAGGUGCUGCUGCUGCUGAGAAUUCAAAGCCUUGAAUUUGCUGAAUUUUCUAUUCCUGGUGGUCAUUCCCUUCUGAAGUUGAGAGAGAAAUUCUGUAUCCAGUGUCUGGUGUUUAUUGGGGAGUAUGUUGAAGUUCUUGGUUCUGUACUCCAUGAGAAGGAGUAAAUGUAUGCCUUGCACUACUGCAGCGAAGUCUUAAGCUCGAAGAAACACCCUACACUAAAUUCCUUAUGAAUGAACUUUGAAGCUAAUAUGUGCAUUGGCCGCUCACAGAAAGUUUUCUGCAUUGUUUGUUGAUUGCGGUGGCAUGGACAAACUCCUUGCGACUCCUAGAAAUGCCCAUACAUAUGUGGGUCUUUCUUCCUGCUUAUGAACUAUUGGGUCAAUUCAGGUGAUAAUGAAGUGUGUUUGUUCUCUUCCGCCAAAUAUUGUCCAUCAGAUUGUUAAGUUGGCUGGAACUGCGACAAUAAUUCAGGGCACAUCUCCUCUUGCUUGUGGAUUCUAUUCAACCUAACGAUGGUGAUGGCUAUGAUGAACCUGAGAUUGUUGAACCAGCAUUGAAUUUGUUAAUAAAUCUUGUGUGCCAUCCUUCAUCAAUAAGCAAUAAGCCAAGUCUCAUGCAAGGUCAGCAAUACGGAAAUCAAUCUGCUAUGAACUCCAGGGACAAAUUCAGAGAGGAAUUUCCCAGAGCGUGGUCUAAAUCAGAAUGAAUCAAGGGUUCGAACUGGGGAACUGACACCUAUGCCAUCAUCUGUUGGUAACACUUCAUCAUCACGGGAAUCUGCUUCAUUAGUUGCUUCUGGUUUAGUUGGAGAUCGCAGGAUUUCGUGCUUGGCUUGGUGCUCAGCUUGAACAAGGAUAUCGUCAAGCUAGAGAAGCUGUUCGUGUAAAGCAUGCUUCUUCAGCUUCUCCAACCUCGAAUGGUGACAUCCCCUGCAGCUCUUGAUUGUCUUCGUGCUCUUACAUGCCGAGUACUUUAGCAGCUAGUGAUGCAGCGACUCCCACUUUGAGACCAUUGAAAGAGGAGCAGCCAUUGCUGCUGCUACUCCAGUUUCUUAUCAUUCUAGGGCUUAUCCAUGAGCACCUUCAAUUAUCUGGAUUAGGUUAUCACCAAUGCCAUCCUUGGAUGCUCCAUCAUCUUUAGCACAACAUGCAUCUGGGCAGGAGUUGUCAUCAAUACAAAUAGAAUGGCCAUCUGAAAUAGCAACUUGUGGAUUCUUGUUGGAUAGACCAAACUGGUGAACAUACACUCAGACCAUAUGGAUUCGAACUUGUUAUGCACACCAUCUGUUGAGAGUUUGCUAACCAGUCCGACCUAUUUAUCCUCAUGUCUGCCCUGAGCCAAGCAUUCAAUGUUUGCAUCACUGCCAUCAGAUUCAUCCCGGCGUUAAAUCCUUGUGUACGAUGAUAUCCAGUCUUGUCAAUUGGAUCUGACACUGACUGAUACUUCUAAUAACCCGUCUGGACAUGAUCAUGGAUGUGAUCAUUCAUAUUGACUCAAUGCUGCUUUGGAAUGGAGUUUUGUGGGAUCGCAAGACCAAUUCAUCGAUUUUAUCAAUUUACUGCCUAUGAUGGUGGGGGCUACCAUUCUGCUGGGAAUGAGAUUGUUGAACCAGCGUUGAAUUUGUUAAUAAACCUUGUGUGCCCUCCUUCAUGAAUAAGCAAUAAGCCAAGUCUCAUGCAAGGUCAGCAAGCUUCUUCUACCCAAGCUGGAAUCAAUCUGCUAUAAACUCCAGGGACAGAAAUUCAGAGAAGAAUGUCCAAGAGGUGGUCCAAAUCAGAAUGAAUCAAGGGAUCAAACUGGGGAACUGACACCUAUGCCAUCAUCUGUUGGUAACACUUCAUCAUCACAGGCAUCUGCUUCAUUAGUUGCUUCUGGUUUAGUUGGAGAUCGCAGGAUUUCAUGCUUGGACAAGGAUAUCGUAAAGCUAGAGAAGCGUUCGUUCAAGGCAUGGUAUAAAAGGUUCUUCAGCUUCUCCAAUCUCGAAUGGUGACAUCCCCUGCAGCUCUUGAUUGUCUUCGUGCUCUUACAUGCCGAGUGCUUUUAGGUUGAUGCUAUUGCACAUAUAUUGACCGAACUUCAGGUUUGGAAAAGUUAUCAAAGCUCAUCCGAGUGGGAGCCAAACCGCCAGUGGUGACCAAAAUAGAUGGCAGGCGGAAUUAACUCAAGUGAGCUUAUUGGGCUUAUCCAUGAGCACCUUCAAGCAUCUGGAUUAGCUGAGAGUGCAUCUUUGCUAAGUUAUCACCAUUGGCUGCUCCAUCAUUUAGCACAACACACAUCUGGGCAAGAGUUGUCAUCAGUACAAAUGCAAUGGCCACUGAACGAGCAACUUUUCAGGAACACCAUCAGUGUCUACUGGGAAAUCAAGUGGCGAUCCAGACAAUCCGAGAAGAACUCCAAUAGUGUUGCCAAUGAAACGGAAAAACAGACAUGAAAGAAAAUGGGUUUGGAUCAUCGGUAAAACUGGUGAACAUACACUCAGACUACCUGGUUUUUCAACACCGAAUUCUGCUUGUAGAAGUGGUCUGCAGGUGGAUUCGAACAUACAUUUAAGGCGAGGAAGACGAUGAUGAUAAUGGCAGUGAGGUUCUUGAAUCUUUCAGCAGUGACUAUCUUCUGUGAUCGAUCCUUCUUAAAGCUGCAAUCCUACAGCUGAAGAUGCUCACACUUUUACGAUAAACCUCAUGAGAAUUGGUUGAAUCAAGAACAACAUCGUGAGGGGCAAGGCUAAUAAACCAAACCCGAUGAGAAUUGGUAUGUAGCUUUCUUUCAUUUUAUUGAGAUUAAAUUGAUGUCUGAUAUCAAAUUGAUGUGUUUUCACUCUGGUGAGGUUAAAUCAAGAACAAUCAUGAUAAGAAUUGGUUGAAUCAAGAACAUCAUCUUGAGUAGAGGGAAGUAUUAGAGGCCAAAUCCGACAAGAAUUGCAUUGUGAGUUAAAUGGGCAAGGCAUACGGACCAAUCAUGAUAAGAAUUGGUUGAAUCAAGAACACAACAUCAUGAGUAGAGGGAAAGAUUAUAGGCCAAAUCCGACAAGAAUUGGUACGCAUUUUUCUUUCUUUUUGUUGGAAUCAGUGCUAGAUUUUUCAUUUUGUUUUCUCUUUAUUGAGGUUGAAUCAAGAACAAAAUUGUGAUGUUAAAAGGGCAAGGCAUACAGACCAGACCAAUCAUGAUAAGAAUUGGUUGAAUCAAGAACAACAUUGUGAUGUUAAAGGGGCAAGACAUACAGACCAAUCAUGAUAAGAAUCGGUUGAAUCAAGAACGACAUCGUGAGUAGAGGAAAGGAUUAGAGGCCAAAUCCGACAAUAAUUGCCGUUGUGCCAACACACGGACGACAAUCUUCCACCUCUAUCAUCUUAAGGCUUUUGAUGUUCCUGGAAUCUCGCGCAAUUUGUAACAGUGUCUGAUAACCAGGCGCUCCAGUUUUGGGAAACGGCGAGAGUUGGCUCCCCACACCUCCAUGUCCAAGUCUUCGGGGAGGCUGAUUGCCAAGCAAUGCAACGGACUACCGCUGGCGCUUGUGGUGAUCGGAGGUAUUCUUGUGGACUACACGUCGCAAGAAAUGAGCGCAAUCCGUGCGAUGGCCCAGGACGCCGGGGUCCUCCCUCUCCAACUCGGUCGAGUCAUUCCUGGCGGACGAAUGCUAUAGAGAUCUGAAAAGGACUCGGUAACUAGUCUGAACAACGACGCUUCCCGCCCUUCGAACCGUUGCUACGUGGUAUUCCCUUCUGCUUUGUAGUAGUAAAGGGGAAGAUAUGUCUCUCGAGCCUUUAUUGUUUAUUGAAGGAAUAGGGUUUUGGUUUGGUCAAGAACGGUUGGUUCGCGAGAAUCCUGGCUUCGUUGUAAAAGCCUAUCCGGCUGAAAGGCUGAAUCUUAGCUUAGUAAGACACCGCCUUUACUGACUCAUCCAUUCUCCUCUCGGAUAAUGUGAGCAAUUACGUGAAAAA